UGGGUUCGUUUCCCAUUUUGUUUUUAUUCAGAAACAAUAGCUAAAAUUAGAAAUUUCGUUCACUUUCGUUCAGAAUCUGGGACAUCAGCUGCCUGUUCUGUAACAACCAGUGAAAAAGACGACCGAUCUAAUCAUUAUCUUAGAGAUUAUGACUGUUUAAUAUCAUUACUUACUACAGCUUUCUAUGUGAGCUUUGAAAGAAUAAUUUGGACCUUAGAAGACGAGACAGUUUUGACAUCUGAGAAUAAACUGCAAUUAAUGCAUCAGUGAAAUUCCAAUGAAAUAUGCACAAUGACAUUGAAUAGAUAUUGUAUUUAGUAUUGAUUUAUUUAGAAAUUAUUUCUUUUAAAGCUCUCUAAAACAACAAGCCAAGCAAAUACAAAACAUGGGCAAACCAAAGAAUAAAAAAAAAAUUCUGAUUCGUGUGAAAUUAUAACGUGAAACAGCACGCUAAGCUCAGUGACGUCAAGACGCACACGUACGUACGACUGAGCGGAGACAGCCAGCCAAUCAGAGCUUCCCUCGCUCCGUGGUUUGACGUAUUGAGAACGUGCAACAUAGCAACGGUUUCUGGGCGCGCGCCUUGUGGAUGCGGAACUGAGAGCGCGCGUUUCCGAGGCAACGUAACUCAUCCCUGCGCUUUAUAUCACAAACCUGAGGGUUCAGUUAAAGAUGUGGCGCUUGUUUCGUGCUCUAAUCCUGCCCUGAGUACACUUUUACUCAAUAUCGGACAGCUCAUCUGUAUCAAAGGAUAAUCUUUCUCGACUCGUCUGGUGUGUGACUCAGAGCAAAGCAGCAGUGAGGUGAAAAGAUGUGAGCAGAGAUGUGGAGCGCGGCCUGAGAUGCUGAAAGUCAGGGCCGAAAACACAAAGCAGAUGCAAGAGUACAGAGUUUAGGAGGCAGAGAACGAGCCGAGAGUGGGAGUAGGAAUACGGGAUGAUGGAGGACUGAACUGAGAGCAGGUGAACACAGCUGUGGACCGCCGCCGGCUCUCUUCUUCCUCUCCUCCCUCUCUUCUUCCUCUCCUCAUGAGGCUCCGGCUCUGUGUCUCGGGGUCUCAAGGAGACAGCAGGGGCCGGCCAGGCUUCAACGGAGUGGGCAGCAGAGGCGGGCAGUUGCACCCACCGGGCACAGGCUCCUCAGCAGAGUAAUCAAUACGGGGGAAGAGGCUGCCAGGGGUCGGGCGACGCAGCCCCGGGCCAUGGUGCCAAGGGAUCACCAGCGCUCAUCUCUCCCUUUACCAGUCAACUUGCAUCAGCCAAAGGCGGACCAUGUGUGAGAGCAAGAGUGUGUGUGUGUGGUUCUGCCGGAGGGACCUUCAGUCCCAACACCACUUGAUAAAACUUUGUCUGCGGGAGAAUGAACAGAAAAAGAGUGUCAAAGGUCUUUUUCCCUCUCCUCAAUUCCUUUUUUACUGUGAGUGCACAUUCCCAGUGACUGUUUGAAUGAGGGCUUGACGUACAAUCCCUCUUACAGGCCCUCCUCCAAGCCUCUACAUCAGAUGAGCUGGCAAGAGAGGACAACUUGAACUUUUGUCUUUUUUGGACGACAUUUUUUUUGCCUUUCUGUUGUAGAUUAAAUUAGAUGAUUUUUUCAAAAUCCUCACCACUGUUUGAGAGCUUCUAAAAAGGCUUUGGUUUUAAUCCACAUGAAGAGGCUUGGCACUCUUGUCUACAUACUUCAGUACUGCUGGACCUCCACAGUACCAGGUUUUAAUAAGAUGACAUUCAGAGGGAGUGCAAAGUAGAGGAGGCUGAGCUCAAAAUCUAGGACCAAAAUUACCCAAUAAACUUUCCCAGAAUUUGUCACUCAUUGUUUUCAGCCAUUCCCUGGAAAGCUCCAUUUCCUUCCAUGAGACACAACGAACAUAGGUGAAUGGAAUGAUUAUGUUGCUAAAAGUAGUGCCAAGUCCCCAAGGAUUCUUUAAGGAAUGAAGUUUACUAGGAGAUGAUGGAGUCUAAUCCUCUGAAAUGGAGUUAUGAAUGCUGUUCAGAGCCACUCCCGGGAUGGUGUGUUUCAGAUCUGUAGCCCUGACCCACUGCAGGAUGAAAAUGAUAACAUCAGUGAUAUUUUACUGUCAGUGAUUGCUUACAGAAUUUUGCUUGUGCCCCUUUUAUACUGGUGAGUAUUUCAACAAGGUAAGUUUCUGAUCAUAAUUUAAACAGCAUAAAUAGAAAAGGCUGUGAUAUUGCAUACAUAUAAACUUCAAAUAGACCAUUUCAAAUGCUUUUUUUUAAUUGGCACCUACAAUGAAAGAAAUAAACCUUGGACUGCAGCUGGUUUCCCAGCUAAAAAAAUUACUUCUUUUCUAUGUUCUAAUUUUUUUUUUCAGUUGCAACAAAUUGACAAGUAGGUUUGAUUUUUUUCCCCCCAUUAGUAUGUUUUUUUUUAUCGUGUCUAACCUGUAUGAUGUAUAGCAUACUAGGGAAAUCUGAAAUAUUUGUACAGUUAAUAGAGUACUACACAGGUACAGAUGAUGAUAUUAUUUGCAGACCUAUUUGCAUUUUUAAGAGCAGACAUACAAGACGAAAAAGCAAAACCUGCUUGUACAAAGUGUGAUAUCCUUAUCGCCAUACAUUAAUUAUAGCAUAAUCUCUGAUAUUUGUUGAAGUUGUGUUUACAGUAUGAAUAUUGUAGUAAUAAAUUAAUUAUGCAGAAUGAAUUAACAAUAAAAGUGAAACCUGAAUUUAUUCUGUGUUGCGUGUUUUUUUUAACUUAUGGUUGUUCAAUACGGUAUAAAAUGUGUCUCAUUAUUAGUGACAGGGAAACACAAAUAAAUGUUUAUUUCCAUGGGUAAACAAAUGAAUAUAUUUUGCCUAAUGAAUGAUUUUUUUUGCACUUCGCAGUGUAACGAAGCAGUGUAACGUGCUAAUGUUUGUGUGUCUGUGUCUGCAUAAAAUUAUACGCUCAUUAAUAUUCAAAUGUGUUCAAAUAUUAAAUUAUGUUAUUAAGAUUUAAAUACAUUUUUUGAGGAAUUUCAAAAGCCUGGUCUAUAAUGUUUUAUUUUAUGUGAAAUGUUUUGUGCUGUUUGAUUUUUUUUCUGUAAAAAAAUAUUUAUGCAUAAACCUAAGUAGGUCUAAUGAGGUUUUGUGUAUAGAUGAAUCAUAUAAGAGGAAAUCAUAAUGCGUUGAAGAAUUGAUGUAUACCAAGUGUAAUGUAUGUUAAAUAAAGUGUUCUCAAGCUG
Pangasianodon hypophthalmus (striped catfish) is the source of this 3184-nucleotide long non-coding RNA. RefSeq lists it as uncharacterized. NCBI's taxonomy places the organism in Eukaryota, Metazoa, Chordata, Actinopteri, Siluriformes, Pangasiidae. The record is from RefSeq and is a predicted model, not a curated record. The transcript is spliced from 4 exons.